UAUUGAGCCCAUUCGUAUAGUCCAGGCACCGUUCUAAGCAUUUCAUAUCAAUGUCUUUAAUCCUCACAACAAACCUAUGAGGUGGUAUCAUCAAUAUUGUGAAGAGAGCUGUACUGGAAAUGGAACAAAGGCUACAGGAACAGAAAGGAUGCAAUUCAUUCAGCUUGGGGAUAUGGGAAAUGGUGUCACAGAGACAAUCUUGCUCUAUUCCUUAUUUAUGUAUACCCCUACCUCCUGGAAAGGAAUCAGGACAGCUCACACUGGGAAAGAUUCAGAGCAUACAUACAAAAGCCUUGAGACUGGAAAGAUUAUUUGGAAGUUGGGCAGAAGAGCAGGUCACAAAUAGACUAAGAAAGAGAAGCCAUGUUAACAGGAGGAAUACCAGAUAAGACAGAGGGCUUCCAGAUUUAUUGGUGUGAUAAAUGUAAAAACACUGUCACAGAGUCUGGGGAAGAAAGUCUUUCAAGAAGAAAGGAAUGGUCAAUCACGCAAAAAUACUGCUGAGAGGGGCGAAGCAAGGAGAAGAAAGAAAAAAUAUAUGAAUGCUGCCACACACAUCCAUGGUUUGUCAAUGCCCAGCCAUCCUUGGUGUGCAUUCUUAGUGAGUUUCUACUCCAAUUCUUCCUGAGUGAUUACAUUUUCAUCACAUUUCUGAAGGUUUUGCCACUUCUGCCAUCACAAUUUGAAGCUCACACGAUGCUGGGACAGGGACAUCACUGAAUUUUUCUGCAGCAAAUUGAAGACCAAAUGGGAAUUUCUGCCUCAAUCAGCAUCCAUUGGGAAUCAACUUGAUGUGAGGCGUUAUGCUA
Molecule: long non-coding RNA, 809 nt
Organism: Homo sapiens (human)
Lineage: Eukaryota; Metazoa; Chordata; Mammalia; Primates; Hominidae
Exons: 5
Source: RefSeq, a predicted model, not a curated record